UGUGGGAGCGAGCCUGCUCGCGAUGGCGGUGUAUCAGUCAACAUCGAUGUCGACUGAUACACCGCCAUCGCGAGCAGGCUCGCUCCCACA
RNAcentral lists this unclassified non-coding RNA (90 nucleotides) under Pseudomonas mediterranea. Lineage: Bacteria; Pseudomonadati; Pseudomonadota; Gammaproteobacteria; Pseudomonadales; Pseudomonadaceae. The record is from RNAcentral.